GCAGAUUGGUCGGGGCUGGGACUGCCGAAGAUUGCCGAAAGGCGGCGGGGAGGAGGAGGAGGAUGUCAUCGCUAGAGUGAGCAAGCAGAUCUCGCGGGAGCAAAUGUCGCGAGACCUCUCCAGGUCUGCAACCGCCAAAGAAAGGUUACUUUUCCCGGAAGUAACGUCAGUCGAAACGGCCCGGGAUCCUGGGAAUAUUCGUUCCCUCAGGCAGGAGGUUGGGGGGGUUGCUUGUGAUUAGUUUGUUAGGGGCUACCAAACACUGCUGAGUUCACUUGAGGGAAAGUAUAGGCUCGGCUGUGAUAUUUUAUCCUGUUUUUGGCCCCUUUGGGUGGGGUUGUAUACUGUGGGGAAGUGCAUGCUCCGUAGAACCUCUCGUAACAGUAGUUUGGGGCUCCACUUUAGGCUCAGCGACCAAGACUGCGAUGCUGUGGCAUAUUUGUGCAAGGCGCCAAGGUGAAGGCUUAGGAUUCAAGUACUUGUGAACACACAGACCUGUCAUCAGAAAUGCCUCCCUAUUCUAACACUCACCCAGUGAGCCUCUGAAAAGGAAAUAAUUUGACUUGUCUGUGCCAACUCCAUAGUUUGCGCCCCCUACUACCCACAUUUACUAAAGUUAAUGCAAUUCAGUUACCAGCAUCUGUGAUGAGAAGUACCUAGUGUAGAGCCUAACUGCAGAUAAGGAUUAGAAGAACUUACUGAAAGUUAACUAUUCUAUUUCUGUUCCCUUAUGUCUCAUGUUUUAAUUAAUUUCAGCCUGGCCCUUAGCACGUAAGCAGAACAGCAUUUGCUUAAGGUCACUAAGUAGCCUUCUUGUGCCAAAUUCGCUGGACUUUGAAAAGUUAAUUUUGCUUAAAGGCAAAAGUAUAAUAUACACCCUUUGUGAAAGAAAGAAGGGGACAUAAAACACACAAAUACCUGCUCAUUUGUCAGGGGAGGUAUAAACCAGAAGUUAAGGUGAAUGAUGUCCUAUAUGAGAAGGGUGGCAAGAAGGGGAGGAUUGGAACAAGGUAGCAGGAUCGACAAAGGAGUGGCAGAUAUUUUUAUACAGGACUGUCUCUUAGAACCAUAUGUUUCACAUACCCAAAAACAUAAACACCUAAAACCAACUACGAUAAUAUUUCAGUAACAACCAGCUGAUAGGAGCAUAAAUCAAAAGGAAAAGAAAAAAGGGGGAAAAGUCAGUGAGCUGCGGAGGGACCAAGUUGUAUGGUCCUUUAAAGUUCAGACGUAUAGGUUGUCUGUUGUAUUUGUUUUCUGUUGUGCUAACAAAUUACCACAAAUAUAGUGGCUUAACACAGACUUACUAUCUUACAAUUCUGUAAGUCAGAAGUCUGACUCGGGUCUCAAACUUGGCUAAAAUCAAGGUGUUGGCAGGGCUGCCUUACUUUCUGGGGGCUCAAGGGAAGAAUUUGUUUCCUUUUCCAGCUUCCAGAGGCUACUUGCAUUCCUCGGCUCCUGGCUCCCUUCUUCCAUCUCAAAGCCAGCAAUGAUGAGUAACACAGCGACUCUACAAGGGGUGGGGAGGAAAAGAACUCACCUAAGUACUGAGGGAAACAGUAUCUUGACUGGAUACCUAAGAGUAAACCAACUGAACUGUACAUAAAUUCUGUGAUCCACAUCACUCCCCUCCCAUCCAGGCUGCCAUGUAACAUUGAACAGAGUUUCCUGUGCUAUAUGGUUUUUUUCCUACUGCCUGGUGCUAGUUCCUCUGAAGUAGGCAGGGGAGCCCUGUGAGCCCUUUGUAAGACCAGGACCCCC
Delphinapterus leucas (beluga whale) is the source of this 1761-nucleotide non-coding RNA. The record is from RefSeq and is a predicted model, not a curated record. Lineage: Eukaryota; Metazoa; Chordata; Mammalia; Artiodactyla; Monodontidae.